GUCCUCUCCUCCCCCAGAGGUGAUUUUCCCAGGUAGGACAGGACACAAGAGCCAAGAUGAGGAAGGUGACAGUGACUAAGGUGACCCGCGGCUGGGGUGAAGGUUCAUCUCAGCCCUCGGGGGCAGCGACCCCUUCAGAUUAGUGUCUAGUGAACCGGAAAGAAUCUGAGGGACCACAGGGGGACAGGGAGGACCAGAGGGAGGAGCCCCCAGGACAAACGCCCUAUGGGCAAAAACUAGACAAGACGAGGGUCCUGGGCAGGUGAGGGCAGAGGGUCCUGGUGUGCAGGAAGGGACUCCCAGAGUGACAAGAAGACCCACCUCCAGUGGCCCAGGACAGGGGGCGCCCAGGCUGGCUGACUGAGCCCCAGAGGGUCCCUGGGUGAAUGGGCAGCCCACCCCCUUCAGGGACCUCGGGCACAGCCGGCUGGUGGGGAUGGCCAGCACGGAGCUUCCCACCGGCCAGGGCGUCCCAAGAGCCGGCAGCUCACGGCCAAAGCCAGGCACAGGGGAGACUCGGGAAGGAAGAGUCUGAUGAGGCGCAAGAAAGAGCC
Molecule: long non-coding RNA, 554 nt
Filed under: Marmota monax (woodchuck)
Lineage: Eukaryota; Metazoa; Chordata; Mammalia; Rodentia; Sciuridae
Source: RNAcentral